GUCCCGGCAGCUCAGUCGGUAGAGCGCCUAGCAAUAACUACCAGGAGGGCGCAGGAUCGAAGCCUACCCAGGAUA
Non-coding RNA from Meloidogyne enterolobii, 75 nucleotides. Lineage: Eukaryota; Metazoa; Nematoda; Chromadorea; Rhabditida; Meloidogynidae. The record is from the annotation of a GenBank genome assembly.